Molecule: ribosomal RNA, 119 nt
Filed under: Lepisosteus oculatus (spotted gar)
Lineage: Eukaryota; Metazoa; Chordata; Actinopteri; Semionotiformes; Lepisosteidae
Source: RNAcentral
GUGAGCAGUUAUAUCAUCCUUAAACUCACACCUGUCAAGCCACUGAAGCUCAGCAGGUGUGAGCCUGACCAGUACCUUGAUGGGACACUUCCUGGGAAAAAUGAAGGUUGCUGCUGGAA